Molecule: ribosomal RNA, 492 nt
Filed under: uncultured bacterium
Lineage: Bacteria
Description: partial 16S ribosomal RNA
Rfam family: Bacterial small subunit ribosomal RNA
Source: RNAcentral
AGUGAACGCUGGCGGUAGGCCUAACACAUGCAAGUCGAACGGCAGCGCAGUAAGAGCUUGCUCUUACGGGUGGCGAGUGGCGGACGGGUGAGGAAUACAUCGGAAUCUACUUUUUCGUGGGGGAUAACGUAGGGAAACUUACGCUAAUACCGCAUACGACCUACGGGUGAAAGCAGGGGAUCUUCGGACCUUGCGCGAUUGAAUGAGCCGAUGUCGGAUUAGCUAGUUGGCGGGGUAAAGGCCCACCAAGGCGACGAUCCGUAGCUGGUCUGAGAGGAUGAUCAGCCACACUGGAACUGAGACACGGUCCAGACUCCUACGGGAGGCAGCAGUGGGGACUAUUGGACAAUGGGCGCAAGCCUGAUCCAGCCAUACCGGGUGGGUGAAGAAGGCCUUCGGGUUGUAAAGCCCUUUUGUUGGGAAAGAAAAGCAGCAGGUUAAUACCCCGCUGUUCUGACGGUACCCAAAGAAUAAGCACCGGCUAACUUCGUG